RNAcentral lists this ribosomal RNA (32 nucleotides) under Mucor fuscus. Its description in RNAcentral is "partial 28S ribosomal RNA". The record is from RNAcentral. Lineage: Eukaryota; Fungi; Mucoromycota; Mucoromycetes; Mucorales; Mucoraceae.
AUUUGAUCUGAAAUCAGGUGGGAUUACCCGCU